GGAGAUUUGGCCGAGCGGUCUAAGGCGAUACGUUCAGGUCGUAUUCACGAAAGUGGCGCGAGUUCGAAUCUCGCAGUCUUCA
Transfer RNA from Phycomyces blakesleeanus NRRL 1555(-), 82 nucleotides. It matches the Rfam family "tRNA". Rfam says of the family: Transfer RNA (tRNA) molecules are approximately 80 nucleotides in length. Their secondary structure includes four short double-helical elements and three loops (D, anti-codon, and T loops). Further hydrogen bonds mediate the characteristic L-shaped molecular structure. tRNAs have two regions of fundamental functional importance: the anti-codon, which is responsible for specific mRNA codon recognition, and the 3' end, to which the tRNAs corresponding amino acid is attached (by aminoacyl-tRNA synthetases). tRNAs cope with the degeneracy of the genetic code in two manners: having more than one tRNA (with a specific anti-codon) for a particular amino acid; and 'wobble' base-pairing, i.e. permitting non-standard base-pairing at the 3rd anti-codon position. NCBI's taxonomy places the organism in Eukaryota, Fungi, Mucoromycota, Mucoromycetes, Mucorales, Phycomycetaceae. The record is from Rfam.